CAUAGCUGUGGAAAUGGUGAGCAAGAUUUUGGAAAGCUACGGAAAUAUUUGGUUAGAGCAGCUUAGCUGAAGCAUACCUGCAGAGGCUGCACAGACAAAUGACUUGCUUCUGGCAUUGAGGACAGAUGUUGGGUAAAUUUUGAUGGAUCAGCUUAUGAAGAGAGACACUUACUGCAACAGGUUCCUGACCUGAUGAUCUUAUUGGCUCCCUAGACUGCCUCUAUAUAUCCAGGACAAUGGUGAAUUAAGGGCUUUUUUACCCUUAUUUUGACAGGCUUUAUUGAUUUGGGAAAAAUUCCCUCUACUUACAUUUACAAGCACCGAUGGAACACAAGGAAAAACCAUCAAAAUUGAGGAAACAUGUCAAAGUUUUCCAUCUGUCUGUCAUUAAAAAGAUGAAUUGCAGAACAGGGCUACAGUUAAAGGAAUUUGUAAGCAGUGAUUUGCACAAAACACAGUGGGUGAUGCUAUGAGUAGUAUUGAUUUCAUAGGGAAUAGCUUAGCUGCACUGCACCUAGAAAUCAAUGGACAGGUAGUGUCAAUUUUGAAGUCAGAGGUACUAUGACUUCCCUACCAUGCAAUAUCAAGUACUCUAAAAUGUAGCUUGUUUUUUCACUGGAAGAGGAGAAGAUAUGAUUUUUCUCCCUUUCCUCCUCUAUGCAAUUUAAUAAGGUUGUAUGUAUAACCCUUUUAUGUCAACUAUAUAUGUCCCCACGAAAACACACUGGGAGUGUAAGGUAAAGGAAUAAAAACGGAUUUAUUUGAUGCACCUAAAUGAACAAAUGCAGCCACAAUUUUAAAAGUACAUAGGUUUUAAAACAGUGAUACUGUCAUGUCCAUGAGAUUAUUGGAUAUGAGGGGUAUUGCAUCAGAGGAGACAACUCUGAUGCACACUCAACUCAGGUAUUUGAAAUAAUCUUAAUUUCUUUCCACGCUGAUUCCCUUGUGUGAAGUAGAUAUAAUAUAUUUCACCUAUUUCAACUGUACAGCCUUCAGGAAAGAAAUUUCAUGUAUAAAUAUGUCACGUGACAUCUUUGUCUGCUGUUGUAGUAUAUGAAAAUACUGUUGCCUGAGAGAGAAUGAUGUUUUUCCUUCAUAUCUGUCUCUGUCAUUGAUAGUGCCUGAGAACUCCAUAUUGGCCACUAACUCUGGAAGAACCGAAGUGAGGUCUUUUGGAAAACUCCUGUGCUUGACUUGUUUUUUGUUGUUCACAGAUGUAGUUAUAUUUCUUCUGCAAUGAGGUCAGAUUUCAUAUGGAACAUGUUUUGUAAUUUGUUUGGUUAUUCCACGAUUACUUGCUUAAUUUGCUCAGGGGAAAAUAAAUCACAGAAUUCGAAGCUAGUGAAAGAUUUUGGCAAAGCUAAUUGCAGUUGCUGGCUAGUGAUUUUUUUUUUUUUUUUUUGUAAUUUGUUUGUACUGAAAUCCAAAAGCUAUAUUUAUACUUAAUUUUAGGUAGUGUUGUGUCCGUUGCAAAAUAAUGUAUUAUGAAGCUUGAAGCAUAUAUAGAGCUAACUACAUGGCUACAUGAAGUACUAUGAGCCAAUGUUUAGAAUAUUUAUUUUUCUCCAUCCAAUUAGAGCCAUGACCAUUCCUUAAAACUUCUAAAUUUUUAAUCAAGGCUUUCAGGCAAUUAAUACUGACAGUAAAAUGCCUACAUGUCCAGUCUUUUUACAAAACCUUACUAUCAAUUACCAUGCCUGAAAAGAAAAUAAAAUUUGGCUUUAAUUCUGACAAUAAGGCUGUCAGAGACUUUGAAACAAAUUAUUUAUGAUAAUGCUUUUGAACACCAUUCCUGUCUAUAGUGUAGUAGAGCUUCUUCAGUAGAGCUGAAGUCAGAAGUAUUCCAGGAGGCUCAGCUGAGUAAAGAGAGAUUUGAUAUCAUCUGUUUUC
Long non-coding RNA from Numida meleagris (helmeted guineafowl), 1890 nucleotides. RefSeq lists it as uncharacterized. The transcript has 3 exons. The record is from RefSeq and is a predicted model, not a curated record. Lineage: Eukaryota; Metazoa; Chordata; Aves; Galliformes; Numididae.